ACCCGCUGAACUUAAGCAUAUCAAUAAGCGGAGGAAAAGAAACCAACAGGGAUUGCCUUAGUAACUGCGAGUGAAGCGGCAAAAGCUCAAAUUUGAAAUCUGGUGCCUUCGGCGCCCGAGUUGUAAUUUGGAGAGACAUCUUCGGAGUAGACGCCGUCCUAAGUUCCUUGGAACAGGACGUCACAGAGGGUGAGAAUCCCGUGCCUGGAUGGCUGUUCUACUUCAUGUGAAGUGUCUUCGACGAGUCGAGUUGUUUGGGAAUGCAGCUCAAAAUGGGAGGUAAAUUUCUUCUAAAGCUAAAUAUUGGCGAGAGACCGAUAGCGCACAAGUAGAGUGAUCGAAAGAUGAAAAGCACUUUGAAAAGAGAGUUAAAAAGUACGUGAAAUUGUUGAAAGGGAAGCGCUUGAGACCAGACUCGACCAGUGGUGAUCAGCGGUGCUUCCGUGCCGUGCACUUGCCAUUGGUUGGGCCAGCAUCGGUUUGGACGGCGGGAUAAAGACCUAAGGAAUGUGGCUCCCUCCGGGGAGUGUUAUAGCCUUGAGUGCAAUGCCGCCAGUCUGGACCGAGGACCGCGCUUCGGCUAGGAUGCUGGCGUAAUGGUCUU
This 604-nucleotide ribosomal RNA is filed under the name uncultured fungus. Its description in RNAcentral is "eukaryotic LSU rRNA". It matches the Rfam family "Eukaryotic large subunit ribosomal RNA", at positions 23 to 641 of the family's 3401-position model. The record is from RNAcentral. Lineage: Eukaryota; Fungi.